UUGGGGAACAUCCCACGAGGCAAGAGCAGGAUUAAAUCAUUCCUCCUGCCAGCGAUUCCCAAACCGUGCAUCCCAGGGCUUGAAUCUGCUCUGCUGAAGAAGGGGAAGAUUGAUGAGAUCGAUCAGCAUUUCUCCAGUUUUCACAGCUAUAAGUCCCCCCAGUACUGCACGGAGACGUGGUACCAGGUGAGUGUGGACACGAGUCCGGCUGUGACGCCCAGCAGCAUCCAGUCUGACGGUAUACAAGAGGAUGUGCUGAUCACGCCAAUCAUACCGAUUGUGCCGAUCGGGCCAAUCACGCAGUACGUCACCUGCCCCAAUGGACAACAGUCUGUUCAGACCAGCUGCACUCCUAUGCCUUAUGUCCACGGCCCGGCCCCCUACUGUGAGAAAGACACACCCCCUCCAGUCCCUGGCCCCGCCCACCCGGAGCUCAUGUCUGUCCCAGGCAUGGACUAUAACAUGAUUUUAAACCACGCCCCCUACUGUGUGGAAGACACGCCCCCUCC
This is a long non-coding RNA of Cyprinus carpio (common carp), 509 nucleotides long. The record is from Ensembl. NCBI's taxonomy places the organism in Eukaryota, Metazoa, Chordata, Actinopteri, Cypriniformes, Cyprinidae.